This 81-nucleotide transfer RNA is filed under the name Armillaria luteobubalina. It matches the Rfam family "tRNA". From Rfam's summary of the family: Transfer RNA (tRNA) molecules are approximately 80 nucleotides in length. Their secondary structure includes four short double-helical elements and three loops (D, anti-codon, and T loops). The record is from Rfam by way of RNAcentral. Lineage: Eukaryota; Fungi; Basidiomycota; Agaricomycetes; Agaricales; Physalacriaceae.
GGCGCUAUGGUGUAGUGGCAGCACAUGGGAUUCUGAUGUGAUCACAUUCCCAUAACCCAGGUUCGAACCCUGGUAGUGCCU